GCCUAACGGCUGAACUGGCAACUUGGAGAAGUGGCAAGUCUUCCAGUAUGGGGAGCAAAACAGCUAUGGGUCAAGUCCGAGAUCUUUAGGAGAAGUCUUAUUGUGAGGGCGAGUUAUAUAACACCAUAGGACUGGCCGUCCCAUAUGAAAAGAUUAUAUUAGAAUUGAAUGAAGCUUUGUUUAUAUAUUGAUAAUGACAGUAUAUAUAUCGUGUCUUGACUAAUUGCGUGCCAGCAGUCGCGGUAAUACGUAAGAGACUAGUGUUAUUCAUCUUAAUUAGGUUUAAAGGGUACCCAGACGGUCAAUAUAGCUUAUAAAAUGUUAGUACUUGACUAGAGUUUUAUGUAAGAGGGCAGUACUUGAGGAGGAGAGAUGAAAUUUCGUGAUACCAAAGGGACUCUGUAAAGGCGAAGGCAGCCCUCUAUGUAAAAACUGACGUUGAAGGACGAAGGCACAGAGAACAAACAGGAUUAGAUACCCAAGUAGUCUUUGCAGUAAAUGAUGAAUGCCAUAGGUUAGAUUGAUCAAUUAUAGUCUAGGGUUAGUCUAGCAAACUAAUGCCCUAUGAUAUAAUUCAAAAUAUCUGGUCUAUAAAUGAAAGUGUAAGCAUUUCACCUCAAGAGUAAUGUGGCAACGCAGGAACUGAAAUCACUAGACCGUUUCUGACACCAGUAGUGAAG
This 680-nucleotide ribosomal RNA is filed under the name Fusarium oxysporum f. sp. dianthi. Its description in RNAcentral is "SSU rRNA". It matches the Rfam family "Bacterial small subunit ribosomal RNA", at positions 291 to 937 of the family's 1533-position model. The record is from RNAcentral. Lineage: Eukaryota; Fungi; Ascomycota; Sordariomycetes; Hypocreales; Nectriaceae.